RNAcentral lists this ribosomal RNA (253 nucleotides) under uncultured Rhodobacter sp. Its description in RNAcentral is "partial 16S ribosomal RNA". It matches the Rfam family "Bacterial small subunit ribosomal RNA", at positions 524 to 776 of the family's 1533-position model. Lineage: Bacteria; Pseudomonadati; Pseudomonadota; Alphaproteobacteria; Rhodobacterales. The record is from RNAcentral.
UACGGAGGGGGCUAGCGUUAUUCGGAAUUACUGGGCGUAAAGCGCACGUAGGCGGACUGAAAAGUCAGAGGUGAAAUCCCAGGGCUCAACCUUGGAACUGCCUUUGAAACUCUCAGUCUUGAGGUCGAGAGAGGUGAGUGGAAUUCCGAGUGUAGAGGUGAAAUUCGUAGAUAUUCGGAGGAACACCAGUGGCGAAGGCGGCUUACUGGAUCGAUACUGACGCUGAGGUGCGAAAGCGUGGGGAGCAAACAGG